CAUGCGGGGUAAUUGUAGUUGC
Molecule: non-coding RNA, 22 nt
Filed under: Arabidopsis thaliana (thale cress)
Lineage: Eukaryota; Viridiplantae; Streptophyta; Magnoliopsida; Brassicales; Brassicaceae
Source: RNAcentral